Molecule: small nucleolar RNA, 137 nt
Organism: Oreochromis aureus
Lineage: Eukaryota; Metazoa; Chordata; Actinopteri; Cichliformes; Cichlidae
Product: Small nucleolar RNA SNORA5
Source: Ensembl
CGCAGCCUCGUCAAAUUCAGUGCUUCCCCCUCAGUGGUUGGUACUGGCCAAACUGGCUGCCACAGUGAAGGUGUAGUUCAUGGGCCUCGGUGUGUUUCCACACAGCCACUGGGGAUAAAUAUGUACUGCAUACAAGC